UGUUGUGUGCUUGGAAGCUGAUGUAAGUCCAUCGAGUGGCAUUCGGGUUCCAGUGUGAGUUCGUUUGGUUCGGAUGCUGAUGUAAGUCCAGUGAUUGGCAUUCAGGCUCCACGUUUGCCUCUUGUGUGUGUUUUGGUUUGGAUGCUGAUGUAAGUCCAGUGAUUGGCAUUCAGGCUCCACGUUUGCCUUUGCCUGUGUUUGUUUGUGUGCGUGUUAGCCGAGCUACGGAUGCUCUGAUUCUCCUUCGUCCAGAGGAGAUACGUAUGCAUAGGAUGCGAUAUCCUAGCGAGCAU
This 293-nucleotide long non-coding RNA is filed under the name Lathyrus oleraceus (garden pea). Its description in RNAcentral is "Pisum sativum (pea) long non-coding RNA (PSAT_LNC021540)". Lineage: Eukaryota; Viridiplantae; Streptophyta; Magnoliopsida; Fabales; Fabaceae. The record is from RNAcentral.